RNAcentral lists this ribosomal RNA (1261 nucleotides) under metagenome. RNAcentral describes it as "bacterial LSU rRNA". It matches the Rfam family "Bacterial large subunit ribosomal RNA", at positions 1580 to 2819 of the family's 2925-position model. The record is from RNAcentral.
UCGAGCCGAAGUGAAUAACGCCCCGCUUCCAGGAAAAGCCUCUAAGCUUCAGAUCACAUUGGACCGUACCGUAAACCGACACUGGUGGGUGAGCAGAUAAUCUGCCAAGGCGCUUGAGAGAACUCGGGUUAAGGAACUCUGCAAAUUGAUACCGUAACUUCGGAAGAAGGUAUGCCUUCGACGGUGUAGGGAUUUACUCCCGAAGCUGUUGAAGGUCGCAGGUAAUCGGUGGCUGCGACUGUUUAUCAAAAACACAGGACUCUGCGAACACGCAGGUGGAAGUAUAGGGUCUGACGCCCGCCCGGUGCCGGAAGGUUAAUUGAUGGGGUUAGCCGCAAGGCGAAGCUCUUGAUCGAAGCCCCGGUAAACGGCGGCCGUAACCAUAACGGUCCUAAGGUAGCGAAAUUCCUUGUCGGGUAAGUUCCGACCUGCACGAAUGGCGUAACGCUGGCCACACUGUCUCGACCCGAGACUCAGUGAAGUUGAAAUCGCUGUGAAGAUGCGGCGUUCCCGCGGCAAGACGGAAAGACCCCGUGAACCUUCACUACAGCUUUACACUGAACUUUGAACCUUUCUGUGUAGGAUAGGUGGGAGGCUAUGAAACUUGGGCGCUAGCUCGAGUGGAGCCAACCUUGAAAUACCACCCUGGGAUGUUUGAAGUUCUAACCUUGGUCCGUAAUCCGGAUUGGGGACAGUGUAUGGUGGGUAUUUUGACUGGGGCGGUCUCCUCCCAAAGAGUAACGGAGGAGUGCAAUGGUACGCUCAGCGCGGUCGGUCAUCGCGCUCUAGAGUGCAAAGGCAUAAGCGUGCUUAACUGUGAGACAGACACGUCGAACAGGUACGAAAGUAGGUCUUAGUGAUCCGGUGGUUCUGUAUGGAAGGGCCAUCGCUCAACGGAUAAAAGGUACUCCGGUAUAACAGGCUUAUUCCUCCCAAGAGUCCACAUCGACGGAGGAGUUUGGCACCUCGAUGUCGGCUCAUCACAUCCUGGGGCUGUAGCAGGUCCCAAGGGUAUGGCUGUUCGCCAUUUAAAGUGGUACGCGAGCUGGGUUCAGAACGUCGUGAGACAGUUCGGUCCCUAUCUGCCGUGGGCGUUGGAAACUUGAGGGUGAGCUGUCCUUAGUACGAGAGGACCGGGAUGGACGUAUCUCUGGUGUUCCGGUUGUCACGCCAGUGGCACUGCCGGGUAGCUAUAUACGGACGGGAUAAGCGCUGAAAGCAUCUAAGCGCGAAGCCCCCCCCAAGAUUAGGUUUCCCUGCG